Molecule: long non-coding RNA, 963 nt
Organism: Molossus molossus (Pallas's mastiff bat)
Lineage: Eukaryota; Metazoa; Chordata; Mammalia; Chiroptera; Molossidae
Exons: 3
Source: RefSeq, a predicted model, not a curated record
ACAGUGAUAAGGCAGAGGAGGGACAGGGCCUACACAGUAGCUGCAGAUGAUACACGGGCCUAUGAGCCUUUAAGGGGUGCUCCUCAGGGACUGUUAGGGGAUGGAGGAUCUCCAGGGACUAGAGGACUUUUAGCUAGAAAAAGCAGAGGAUCAUUAGCCUCCCAGUCUUUCUGUGCCCACUGAUACAGACCCAUCUCUUGGGGCUUCAUUGCCUCACAGUCUUCCUCAGGUAUGAGUGUGUGUUCUGUUUUCCUGGAGUGUGACUUUGUGGGUAGAAGCAUCUGGAAGCCCUCUGUUGAGAAGGUGCCCUGACGAGGGCCGGGGAUGGAACCGCAACUGAGGGAACUCAGAACGUACCUGUUUAAACGAUAUGAUGUCUGUGAAGCGCCUAGCACGGGACCUGUCCUACAGCUCAUGCCCAAAGACUGUUUCUCUCCUUCCUCCUCUGUUUGACAGCAGGUUCCAAGCUCACUUGAAAAUGUAGCAUUGAUCCCACAGCAAAUAUGUUUUGGCUUAGUGAUGAGUCCACUCAAAAGAAGAGAGAAAAUUAUCUAACUUAUUGAAAUACUUUAAUCCAUGAACUCACAUAAAUAUUGUUUUGAACUAAUAGUUUUAUAUACUGUGGCAUCUGUGUUCCAUCUUUUGGGUGGUUAAUGUCUCUUGCUGUCAUGUACUUAAAAAUGUCAGACUUUCGGUAUUUUCUUUUAUGUUAAACUUGCAAUGGAGUGUUGGAUUCCUUGGUUCAUUUUUAAAAAGCCCUUUAUCAAAAUGUUAGCUUGGUUAAUUUGCAUAAAAUAUUUCCUCGGCAAUUUACUCUGUAUUACUUUUGAAACGCAAAUUGCCUCUGCUGCAGUGUGGGAUGGCUGUAGGUUGUAACAGCAUGUCAGCUAUGACAGCUUUCGAUUCCUGGGAUGAACCAGUCUCAGGUUUGAAGCUCAAGCAAAUAAAUUGGAAUCUUGCCUC